UAGUCCACGCCGUAAAUGAUGGACACUAGUUGUUGGAAUUAUUCAGUGACUAAGCGAAAGUGAUAAGUGUCCCACCUGGGGAGUACGAUCGCAAGAUUGAAACUCAAAGGAAUUGACGGGGGCCCGCACAAGCGGUGGAGCAUGUGGUUUAAUUCGAUGAUACGCGAGGAACCUUACCAGGGCUUAAAUGUAGGUUGCAUUAGCUAGAGAUAGCUAUUUCUUCGGACUACUUACAAGGUGCUGCAUGGUUGUCGUCAGCUCGUGCCGUGAGGUGUCAGGUUAAGUCCUAUAACGAGUGCAACCCUUGUCGUUAGUUGCCAGCAUUUAAAGAUGGGGACUCUAACGAGACUGCCGGUGCAAACCGNGAGGAGGUGGGGAUGACGUCAAAUCAUCACGGCCCUUACGUCCUGGGCUACACACGUGCUACAAUGGUAUGGACAGAGAGCAGCCACCUGGCAACAGGGAGCGAAUCUACAAACCAUAUCACAGUUCGGAUCGGG
This 500-nucleotide ribosomal RNA is filed under the name uncultured bacterium. Its description in RNAcentral is "bacterial SSU rRNA". It matches the Rfam family "Bacterial small subunit ribosomal RNA", at positions 791 to 1302 of the family's 1533-position model. The record is from RNAcentral.